AUUGAACGCUAGCGGGAUGCUUUACACAUGCAAGUCGAACGGCAGCGCGGACUUCGGUCUGGCGGCGAGUGGCGAACGGGUGAGUAAUGUAUCGGAACGUGCCCAGUAGCGGGGGAUAACUACGCGAAAGCGUAGCUAAUACCGCAUACGCCCUACGGGGGAAAGCAGGGGAUCGUAAGACCUUGCACUAUUGGAGCGGCCGAUAUCGGAUUAGCUAGUUGGUGAGGUAACGGCUCACCAAGGCGACGAUCCGUAGCUGGUUUGAGAGGACGACCAGCCACACUGGGACUGAGACACGGCCCAGACUCCUACGGGAGGCAGCAGUGGGGAAUUUUGGACAAUGGGGGCAACCCUGAUCCAGCCAUCCCACGUGUGCGAUGAAGGCCUUCGGGUUGUAAAGCACUUUUGGCAGGAAAGAAACGUCGCGGGCUAAUACCCCGUGGAACUGACGGUACCUGCAGAAUAAGCACCGGCUAACUACGUG
RNAcentral lists this ribosomal RNA (484 nucleotides) under uncultured bacterium. RNAcentral's name for it is "partial 16S ribosomal RNA". It matches the Rfam family "Bacterial small subunit ribosomal RNA", at positions 30 to 507 of the family's 1533-position model. The record is from RNAcentral.